GAUAGGUUAUUGCACAUUUAUACAGGAUACUACUCAACUACAAAUAUGUUUAAUUUUGUAAACGUUUUUUAUAUAUGAAAAGUUGUGCUCUUUCAAGUUCUAUAGAGGAUUAACACAAUCAUAAAUUAUAUGAAAAAUUUCCGUUUUGUUUUAGGAGUAUUUAAUUUUAGUUGGUCCCUUUUAAUUUAAUUUUUCAUUUUU
Molecule: long non-coding RNA, 201 nt
Filed under: Trifolium pratense (red clover)
Lineage: Eukaryota; Viridiplantae; Streptophyta; Magnoliopsida; Fabales; Fabaceae
Description: long non-coding RNA (TPRA_LNC009013)
Source: RNAcentral